ACGCUGGCGGCGUGCUUAACACAUGCAAGUCGAACGGAAAGGCUCCUUGCUUGCAAGGGGUACUCGAGUGGCGAACGGGUGAGUAACACGUGGGUGAUCUGCCUUGCACUUCGGGAUAAGCCUGGGAAACUGGGUCUAAUACCGGAUAGGACCAUGCUUUAGUGUGUGUGGUGGAAAGUUUUUUCGGUGCAAGAUGAGCCCGCGGCCUAUCAGCUUGUUGGUGGGGUAAUGGCCUACCAAGGCGACGACGGGUAGCCGGCCUGAGAGGGUGUACGGCCACAUUGGGACUGAGACACGGCCCAGACUCCUACGGGAGGCAGCAGUGGGGAAUAUUGCACAAUGGGCGCAAGCCUGAUGCAGCGACGCCGCGUGGGGGAUGACGGCCUUCGGGUUGUAAACUCCUUUCGCUAGGGAAGAAGCCACUGUGUGGUGACGGUACCUGGAUAAGAAGCACCGGCUAACUACGUGCCAGCAGCCGCGGUAAUACGUAGGGUGCGAGCGUUGUCCGGAAUUACUGGGCGUAAAGAGCUCGUAGGUGGUUUGUCGCGUCGUCUGUGAAAUCCCGGGGCUUAACUUCGGGCGUGCAGGCGAUACGGGCAUAACUAGAGUGCUGUAGGGGAGACUGGAAUUCCUGGUGUAGCGGUGAAAUGCGCAGAUAUCAGGAGGACACCGAUGGCGAAGGCAGGUCUCUGGGCAGUUACUGACGCUGAGGAGCGAAAGCAUGGGUAGCGAACAGGAU
Molecule: ribosomal RNA, 739 nt
Filed under: uncultured Actinomycetales bacterium
Lineage: Bacteria; Bacillati; Actinomycetota; Actinomycetes; Actinomycetales
Description: bacterial SSU rRNA
Rfam family: Bacterial small subunit ribosomal RNA
Source: RNAcentral